RNAcentral lists this long non-coding RNA (383 nucleotides) under Homo sapiens (human). RNAcentral's name for it is "non-protein coding LINC01431:6". The record is from RNAcentral. Lineage: Eukaryota; Metazoa; Chordata; Mammalia; Primates; Hominidae.
CGGGGAUGCUGGAACCUGCGGUUGAGUGAGAAACCGGCGCCACCGCCUGCGUCUUGGUCUCGGGCUGGUGGCCAGCGGGGUCUGGGCGUGGUUUUACCCAGCUCCUUUGCGAAGCUGCUGUCCUUUCCUCAACGUUACCACCCGGCUGGGCAGCCUACCCUCGGUGUGCACCUUCCAAGCUUGCAACAGACCACAUUCAGAAGCUUGAUUUCUUGUUGUUCUGGGAAUAUCUGGAUCAGAGAUUUCUCCAAGCCACUCUCCCCGUCAUCUCCUCCACCCCCAGGACCCAACUCCUGCCCCUCCCACCCUAGCCCCUGUUCUCCCUGCCCACCUCCUACCCCACUGGAGUGGCCUUUCAUCAAACCUAAACCAAAGAAACCAAC